RNAcentral lists this transfer RNA (71 nucleotides) under Marmota monax (woodchuck). RNAcentral describes it as "tRNA.Undet". Lineage: Eukaryota; Metazoa; Chordata; Mammalia; Rodentia; Sciuridae. The record is from RNAcentral.
GGAGAUAUAGCUCAGUGGUAGAGAGUUUGCCAGUCUGUGCAAAGCCCUGGGUUCCAUUCCCAGCAUCACAG